This is a ribosomal RNA of Danio rerio (zebrafish), 116 nucleotides long. The record is from Ensembl. NCBI's taxonomy places the organism in Eukaryota, Metazoa, Chordata, Actinopteri, Cypriniformes, Danionidae.
UGAAAUUGCAUAUCACCCUGCAGCCCAAGAUUGGUUACUCACUGAAGCUAAGCAGGGCUGAGCCUGGUCAGUACUGUGAUGGGAGACCACAUGGGAAAACUAGGUUGCUGUUGGAA